RNAcentral lists this long non-coding RNA (328 nucleotides) under Olea europaea (common olive). RNAcentral describes it as "long non-coding RNA (OEUR_LNC007294)". The record is from RNAcentral. Lineage: Eukaryota; Viridiplantae; Streptophyta; Magnoliopsida; Lamiales; Oleaceae.
GAAUGAUGUAUUAUGGUAUUAAUAGUAAAUUUUGUAAUUAUAUCUUUCAUGUUAUGUUAAGAGACGUUUUUAUAGUUUAUUUUCCUUGCAAGUGAUAAAAGGCAGAAACGGGACAGUUUCUGGAGUCAAUUUCAAAAUGAUGUUUCUAACUCUAUAAACGUCCAUUUGAAAUUAUAAAAAUAUUUCUGUUUUCCCCUUUGAGUUUUCUAAGUAUGGCCGAAGGAAUCACUCAAUUUGGAUAUCUAUGGUCUGAUUUAUCAAGGUUUUAACGUCCAAAGGUCAAUCUGGAUUCCCUGUGUAAUACUUCACUGUUUUCAGUAAAACGUCU